CGGAAGAGUGGACAUGAUGAUCCCUGCUCGUCACGUGGGCACAUAAGAGCUGGGGGAGUGAGUUGUGCAACCGGCCACCUGUUUA
This 85-nucleotide non-coding RNA is filed under the name Alicyclobacillus acidoterrestris. RNAcentral's name for it is "c-di-GMP-II sequence". It matches the Rfam family "Cyclic di-GMP-II riboswitch aptamer". Lineage: Bacteria; Bacillati; Bacillota; Bacilli; Caryophanales; Alicyclobacillaceae. RNAcentral also lists the same sequence under 1 other name. The record is from RNAcentral.